RNAcentral lists this ribosomal RNA (403 nucleotides) under bacterium. Its description in RNAcentral is "partial 16S ribosomal RNA". It matches the Rfam family "Bacterial small subunit ribosomal RNA", at positions 355 to 776 of the family's 1533-position model. The record is from RNAcentral.
UGGGGAAUAUUGCACAAUGGGGGAAACCCUGAUGCAGCGACGCCGCGUGAACGAAGAAGGUAUUCGUAUCGUAAAGUUCUGUCCUAUGGGAAGAUAAUGACAGUACCAUAGAAGAAAGCUCCGGCUAAAUACGUGCUAGCAGCCGCGGUAAUACGUAUGGAGCGAGCGUUGUCCGGAAUUAUUGGGCGUAAAGGGUACGCAGGCGGUUUAAUAAGUCGAAUGUUAAAGAUCGGGGCUCAACCCCGUAAAGCAUUGGAAACUGAUAAACUUGAGUAGUGGAGAGGAAAGUGGAAUUCCUAGUGUAGUGGUGAAAUACGUAGAUAUUAGGAAGAAUACCAGUAGCGAAGGCGACUUUCUGGACACAAACUGACGCUGAGGUACGAAAGCGUGGGGAGCAAACAGG